CAAGUCCUGGCACACGAUGUUCAAAAGAAAGACCUUGGCUCCCACUGAACUCUUAGAAGGCAGAUGCCAGGAUCUGCAACCCCAGGGUUGUGAGGAGAUCCUGAGCUCUCAGCCAAUGAGAGAGAAUAUUACAGACUAUGCUGUAUGCUCCUAUCCAAUGGCUGCUGAGUACCCAUGGCGUGCCAGACAUGGUGCUAAUUAAUGAAGAUGAAACAAUGAAUGUUCAGAACGCGGUAUGUUAAUGCUAUGAUAGACUGCAUGAGAUGCCAGGCAAGCUAAAAAAAAAAAAUCAAGCAUUUUGUGCCAAGUUUGUGUGCAUUGUCUCAUUUCCUUCUCCCAACCAUCUUAAGAGGUAGAUGGUAUCAUGACCCUCAUUAUACAGAGGAAAAAUGAAAGUUAGGGAGGAUACAUAGGUUGCCCAAGGUCACAUGGUUAGUACCUGCUAGAACUUGACUUAAAUCUUUACCUGGUUGACUCCAAAUCCAUGUAUCAAGCU
This 496-nucleotide long non-coding RNA is filed under the name Aotus nancymaae (Ma's night monkey). Its description in RNAcentral is "lncRNA (ENSANAG00000039376.1)". The record is from RNAcentral. Lineage: Eukaryota; Metazoa; Chordata; Mammalia; Primates; Aotidae.